GGACCCGCACAAGCGGUGGAUGAUGUGGAUUAAUUCGAUGCAACGCGAAAAACCUUACCUACCCUUGACAUGCCAGGAACUUUCCAGAGAUGGAUUGGUGCCCGAAAGGGAGCCUGGACACAGGUGCUGCAUGGCUGUCGUCAGCUCGUGUCGUGAGAUGUUGGGUUAAGUCCCGCAACGAGCGCAACCCUUGUCAUUAAUUGCCAUCAUUUAGUUGGGCACUUUAAUGAGACUGCCGGUGACAAACCGGAGGAAGGUGGGGAUGACGUCAAGUCCUCAUGGCCCUUAUGGGUAGGGCUUCACACGUCAUACAAUGGUCGGUACAAAGGGUUGCCAAGCCGCGAGGUGGAGCUAAUCUCAGAAAGCCGAUCGUAGUCCGGAUUGCAGUCUGCAACUCGACUGCAUGAAGUCGGAAUCGCUAGUAAUCGUGGAUCAGCAUGUCACGGUGAAUACGUUCCCGGGUCUUGUACACACCGCCCGUCACACCAUGGGAGUGGGUUCUACCAGAAGUAGUUAGCCUAACCGUAAGGAGGGCGAUUACCACGGUAGGAUUCAUGACUGGGGUGAAGUCGUAACAAGGUAGCCGUAUCGGAAGGUGCGGCU
RNAcentral lists this ribosomal RNA (603 nucleotides) under uncultured bacterium. Its description in RNAcentral is "bacterial SSU rRNA". It matches the Rfam family "Bacterial small subunit ribosomal RNA", at positions 917 to 1519 of the family's 1533-position model. The record is from RNAcentral.